Molecule: ribosomal RNA, 527 nt
Filed under: Rana amurensis
Lineage: Eukaryota; Metazoa; Chordata; Amphibia; Anura; Ranidae
Description: partial 16S ribosomal RNA
Rfam family: Bacterial large subunit ribosomal RNA
Source: RNAcentral
AGCCUGCCCAGUGACAAAGUUCAACGGCCGCGGUACCCUAACCGUGCGAAGGUAGCAUAAUCACUUGUUCUCUAAAUAAGGACUUGUAUCAACGGCACUACGAGGGUUAUACUGUCUCCUUUUUCCAAUCAGUGAAACUGAUCUCCCCGUGAAGAAGCGGGGAUCAAAAUAUAAGACGAGAAGACCCCAUGGAGCUUUAAACUCACUGUACACCUCUAUGUUCCUAUAUCCUUAUAACACAAGAAACCUGUACAUUAGUUUUAGGUUGGGGGGACCACGGAGUACAACUUAACCUCCAUAACAAAUGGGCUAACACCCUUAUCCACGAGACACAACUCUAAGAAUUAAUAGACUAAUGCUUAUGACCCGAUAUUCGAUCAAUGAACCAAGUUACCCUGGGGAUAACAGCGCAAUCUACUUCAAGAGCUCAUAUCGACAAGUAGGUUUACGACCUCGAUGUUGGAUCAGGGUAUCCCGGUGGUGCAACCGCUACCAAUGGUUCGUUUGUUCAACGAUCAAAACCCUAC